GCAUCGGUGGUUCAGCGGUAGAAUGCUCGCCUGCCACGCGGGCGGCCCGUGUUCGAUUCCUGGCCGAUGCA
This 71-nucleotide transfer RNA is filed under the name Cordylochernes scorpioides. RNAcentral describes it as "tRNA-Gly". It matches the Rfam family "tRNA". From Rfam's summary of the family: Transfer RNA (tRNA) molecules are approximately 80 nucleotides in length. Their secondary structure includes four short double-helical elements and three loops (D, anti-codon, and T loops). Lineage: Eukaryota; Metazoa; Arthropoda; Arachnida; Pseudoscorpiones; Chernetidae. The record is from RNAcentral.